GGUCGGUUCGUCUAACGGUUAGGAUCGGUGAUUCUCAAUCAUCAGAUACGAGUUCGAUUCUCGUACCGACUA
This 72-nucleotide transfer RNA is filed under the name Vallitaleaceae bacterium. RNAcentral's name for it is "tRNA-Glu". It matches the Rfam family "tRNA". From Rfam's summary of the family: Transfer RNA (tRNA) molecules are approximately 80 nucleotides in length. Their secondary structure includes four short double-helical elements and three loops (D, anti-codon, and T loops). Further hydrogen bonds mediate the characteristic L-shaped molecular structure. tRNAs have two regions of fundamental functional importance: the anti-codon, which is responsible for specific mRNA codon recognition, and the 3' end, to which the tRNAs corresponding amino acid is attached (by aminoacyl-tRNA synthetases). tRNAs cope with the degeneracy of the genetic code in two manners: having more than one tRNA (with a specific anti-codon) for a particular amino acid; and 'wobble' base-pairing, i.e. permitting non-standard base-pairing at the 3rd anti-codon position. Lineage: Bacteria; Bacillati; Bacillota; Clostridia; Lachnospirales; Vallitaleaceae. The record is from RNAcentral.